Molecule: ribosomal RNA, 330 nt
Filed under: uncultured Aquicella sp.
Lineage: Bacteria; Pseudomonadati; Pseudomonadota; Gammaproteobacteria; Legionellales; Coxiellaceae
Description: bacterial SSU rRNA
Rfam family: Bacterial small subunit ribosomal RNA
Source: RNAcentral
UGCGUAGGCGGUUAAGUGAGUGUGAUGUGAAAGCCCCGGGCUUAACCUGGGAAGCGCAUCGCAAACGACUUAACUGGAGUAGAUGAGAGGGUGAUGGAAUUUCCGGUGUAGCGGUGAAAUGCGUAGAGAUCGGAAGGAACGUCGAUGGCGAAGGCAGUCACCUGGCAUCAUACUGACGCUGAGGCACGAAAGCGUGGGGAGCGAACAGGAUUAGAUACCCUGGUAGUCCACGCUGUAAACGAUGAUGACUAGAUGUUGGUAGGGGAACCUAUCGGUAUCGAAGCUAACGCGAUAAGUCAUCCGCCUGGGAAGUACGGCCGCAAGGUUGAA